RNAcentral lists this transfer RNA (55 nucleotides) under Pallavicinia sp. He-Nygren 1407. Its description in RNAcentral is "partial tRNA-Leu". It matches the Rfam family "tRNA", at positions 29 to 71 of the family's 71-position model. From Rfam's summary of the family: Transfer RNA (tRNA) molecules are approximately 80 nucleotides in length. Their secondary structure includes four short double-helical elements and three loops (D, anti-codon, and T loops). Further hydrogen bonds mediate the characteristic L-shaped molecular structure. tRNAs have two regions of fundamental functional importance: the anti-codon, which is responsible for specific mRNA codon recognition, and the 3' end, to which the tRNAs corresponding amino acid is attached (by aminoacyl-tRNA synthetases). tRNAs cope with the degeneracy of the genetic code in two manners: having more than one tRNA (with a specific anti-codon) for a particular amino acid; and 'wobble' base-pairing, i.e. permitting non-standard base-pairing at the 3rd anti-codon position. Lineage: Eukaryota; Viridiplantae; Streptophyta; Jungermanniopsida; Pallaviciniales; Pallaviciniaceae. The record is from RNAcentral.
GACUUAAAAUCCGUUGGCUUUACAGACCGUGAGGGUUCAAGUCCCUCUACCCCCA